This 775-nucleotide ribosomal RNA is filed under the name uncultured bacterium. RNAcentral's name for it is "bacterial SSU rRNA". It matches the Rfam family "Bacterial small subunit ribosomal RNA", at positions 60 to 832 of the family's 1533-position model. The record is from RNAcentral.
ABUCGAACGGUAACAUUUCUAGCUUGCUAGAAGAUGACGAGUGGCGGACGGGUGAGUAAUGCUUGGGAACUUGCCUUUGCGAGGGGGAUAACAGUUGGAAACGACUGCUAAUACCGCAUAAUGUCUACGGACCAAACGGGGCUUCGGCUCCGGCGCAAAGAGAGGCCCAAGUGAGAUUAGCUAGUUGGUAAGGUAACGGCUUACCAAGGCGACGAUCUCUAGCUGUUCUGAGAGGAAGAUCAGCCACACUGGGACUGAGACACGGCCCAGACUCCUACGGGAGGCAGCAGUGGGGAAUAUUGCACAAUGGGGGAAACCCUGAUGCAGCCAUGCCGCGUGUGUGAAGAAGGCCUUCGGGUUGUAAAGCACUUUCAGUUGUGAGGAAAAGUUAGUAGUUAAUACCUGCUAGCCGUGACGUUAACAACAGAAGAAGCACCGGCUAACUCCGUGCCAGCAGCCGCGGUAAUACGGAGGGUGCGAGCGUUAAUCGGAAUUACUGGGCGUAAAGCGCACGCAGGCGGUUUGUUAAGCUAGAUGUGAAAGCCCCGGGCUCAACCUGGGAUGGUCAUUUAGAACUGGCAGACUAGAGUCUUGGAGAGGGGAGUGGAAUUCCAGGUGUAGCGGUGAAAUGCGUAGAUAUCUGGAGGAACAUCAGUGGCGAAGGCGACUCCCUGGCCAAAGACUGACGCUCAUGUGCGAAAGUGUGGGUAGCGAACAGGAUUAGAUACCCUGGUAGUCCACACCGUAAACGCUGUCUACUAGCUGUGUGUGCCUU